This 711-nucleotide ribosomal RNA is filed under the name Alternaria alternata. Its description in RNAcentral is "SSU rRNA". It matches the Rfam family "Eukaryotic small subunit ribosomal RNA", at positions 61 to 776 of the family's 1831-position model. The record is from RNAcentral. Lineage: Eukaryota; Fungi; Ascomycota; Dothideomycetes; Pleosporales; Pleosporaceae.
UCGUUCGCUGUUAGCAAUUAUACCGUGAAACUGCGAAUGGCUCAUUAAAUCAGUUAUCGUUUAUUUGAUAAUACCUUACUACUUGGAUAACCGUGGUAAUUCUAGAGCUAAUACAUGCUGAAAAUCCCGACUUCGGAAGGGAUGUGUUUAUUAGAUAAAAAACCAAUGCCCUUCGGGGCUUUUUGGUGAUUCAUGAUAACUUUACGGAUCGCAUAGCCUUGCGCUGGCGACGGUUCAUUCAAAUUUCUGCCCUAUCAACUUUCGAUGGUAAGGUAUUGGCUUACCAUGGUUUCAACGGGUAACGGGGAAUUAGGGUUCGAUUCCGGAGAGGGAGCCUGAGAAACGGCUACCACAUCCAAGGAAGGCAGCAGGCGCGCAAAUUACCCAAUCCCGACACGGGGAGGUAGUGACAAUAAAUACUGAUACAGGGCUCUUUUGGGUCUUGUAAUUGGAAUGAGUACAAUUUAAACCUCUUAACGAGGAACAAUUGGAGGGCAAGUCUGGUGCCAGCAGCCGCGGUAAUUCCAGCUCCAAUAGCGUAUAUUAAAGUUGUUGCAGUUAAAAAGCUCGUAGUUGAAACUUGGGCCUGGCUGGCGGGUCCGCCUCACCGCGUGCACUCGUCCGGCCGGGCCUUCCUUCUGAAGAACCUCAUGCCCUUCACUGGGCGUGCUGGGGAAUCAGGACUUUUACUUUGAAAUAUUUAUAGUGUUC